GGCACUUUGGCGGAGUGGUCAACGCGUAAGACUGCUAAUCUUAUUCCUUCGGGUGCCUGGGUUCGAAUCCCAGAGGUGUCG
This is a non-coding RNA of Nemania sp. NC0429, 81 nucleotides long. Lineage: Eukaryota; Fungi; Ascomycota; Sordariomycetes; Xylariales; Xylariaceae. The record is from the annotation of a GenBank genome assembly.